CCGAUACCCGACCGGCUGCCUCCGGCUCCCUCUCGUCGCGACACGCGGGGUGAGUCCCUUUCCCCCGCCUCUGUUGCGUCGGGGGUUUUGGGGUCGGCGGGCGAAGGUCUUUUUAUUCUGUGGAAACCUGCUCGCAGUGGGGAACAGGCCCAGGACUUGCCAAGGGCGUCGCGCGUCCUCACCCUCGGUCGCGCUGGGUGGGGUCUUGGGCGAGCGUGCAGUUGGCAAGUACCAAGAGCAGGCAUGUUGGGACCCGAAAGGUGGUGAACUAUGCCUGGCCAGGAUGAAGCCAGAGGAAACUCUGGUGGAGGUCUGUAGCGAUUCUGACGUGCAAAUCAAUCGUCAGAGCUGGGUAUAGGGGCGAAAGACUAACCGAACCAUCUAGUAGAUGGUUCCCUCCGAAGUUUAUCUCAGGAUAGCUGGAACUCGCCACCAGAUGAAUUUCAUCCGUUAAAGCGAAUGAUUAGAGGUCUUGGGGACGAUACGUCCUCAACCUAUUCUCAAACUUUAAAUGGGUGAGAUGCCGAACUUGCUAAGAAGAUGAAGCUUCGGCGACGAAUCGGAGUUCCUAGUGGGCCACUUUU
Molecule: ribosomal RNA, 584 nt
Filed under: Puerulus angulatus
Lineage: Eukaryota; Metazoa; Arthropoda; Malacostraca; Decapoda; Palinuridae
Description: eukaryotic LSU rRNA
Rfam family: Eukaryotic large subunit ribosomal RNA (bases 207-584)
Source: RNAcentral